UAGGGAAUCUUCCGCAAUGGGCGAAAGCCUGACGGAGCAACGCCGCGUGAGUGAUGAAGGUCUUCGGAUCGUAAAACUCUGUUAUUAGGGAAGAACAAAUGUGUAAGUAACUAUGCACGUCUUGACGGUACCUAAUCAGAAAGCCACGGCUAACUACGUGCCAGCAGCCGCGGUAAUAUGUAGGUGGCAAGCGUUAUCCGGAAUUAUUGGGCGUAAAGCGCGCGUAGGCGGUUUUUUAAGUCUGAUGUGAAAGCCCACGGCUCAACCGUAGAGGGUCAUUGGAAACUGCAAAACUUGAGUGCAGAAGAGGAAAGUGGAAUUCCAUGUGUAGCGGUGAAAUGCGCAGAGAUAUGGAGGAACACCAGUGGCGAAGGCGACUUUCUGGUCUGUAACUGACGCUGAUGUGCGAAGGCGUGGGGAUCAAACAGG
RNAcentral lists this ribosomal RNA (429 nucleotides) under Actinomycetes bacterium. RNAcentral describes it as "Actinobacteria bacterium partial 16S ribosomal RNA". It matches the Rfam family "Bacterial small subunit ribosomal RNA", at positions 355 to 776 of the family's 1533-position model. The record is from RNAcentral. Lineage: Bacteria; Bacillati; Actinomycetota; Actinomycetes.